Molecule: ribosomal RNA, 691 nt
Filed under: uncultured bacterium
Lineage: Bacteria
Description: bacterial SSU rRNA
Rfam family: Bacterial small subunit ribosomal RNA
Source: RNAcentral
AACACUCCUAACGGGGUGCUAAUACCGAAUGAGAUUUUCGGAUCGCAUGGUCUGGAGAUGAAAGGCGGCCUCUGCUUGCAUGCUGUCGCACAAGGAUGGUCCCGCGUCCCAUUAGCUAGUUGGUGGGGUAACGGCCUACCAAGGCAGUGAUGGGUAGCCGGCCUUAGCGGGUGUCCGGCCACACUGGGACUGAGAUACGGCCCAGACUCCUACGGGAGGCAGCAGUCGAGAGGCUUCUACAAUGGGGGAAACCCUGAUAGAGCGACGCCGCGUGGGUGAUGAAGGUCUUCGGAUCGUAAAGCCCUUUCAGCAGGGAAGAAUGAGGCUGGUGUAAACAGCGCCAGACUCGGGACGGUACCUGCAGAAGAAGCUCCGGCUAACUCCGUGCCAGCAGCCGCGGUAAGACGGAGGGAGCAAGCGUUGUUCGGAUUUACUGGGCGUAAAGGGCGUCUAGGCGGGCCAGCCAGUCAGGUGUGAAACCCCCCGGCUCAACCGGGGAUCUGCACUUGAUACUGCUGGUCUUGAGUACGAAAGAGGAAGGCGGAAUUCCUGGUGUAGCGGUGAAAUGCGUAGAUACCAGGAAGAACACCGGUGGCGAAGGCGGCCUUCUGGUUCGAUACUGACGCUAAAGCGCGAAAGUGUGGGGAGCAAACAGGAUUAGAUACCCUGGUAGUCCACACUGUAAACGAUG